Molecule: ribosomal RNA, 253 nt
Filed under: uncultured bacterium
Lineage: Bacteria
Description: partial 16S ribosomal RNA
Rfam family: Bacterial small subunit ribosomal RNA
Source: RNAcentral
UACGGAGGGGGCGAGCGUUAUUCGGAAUUAUUGGGCGUAAAGGGCGCGUAGGCGGCUGUACAAGUCAAAGGUGAAAUCCCUCGGCUCAACUGAGGAACUGCCUUUGAAACUGUACGGCUUGAGGCCGGGAGGGGGUAGCGGAAUUCCCAGUGUAGCGGUGAAAUGCGUAGAUACUGGGAGGAACACCAGUGGCGAAGGCGGCUACCUGGACCGGUUCUGGCGCUGAGGCGCGAAAGCGUGGGUAGCAAACAGG